This is a non-coding RNA of Pelobates cultripes (western spadefoot toad), 502 nucleotides long. Lineage: Eukaryota; Metazoa; Chordata; Amphibia; Anura; Pelobatidae. The record is from the annotation of a GenBank genome assembly.
CUUACUUUAGGAUUCCAGAACUAACUUUUCUCAUGGUUUUGCAGCUACUCGAUUAUGACCUUUUCAAGAGGAACAUAUCAAUGAUCACUCAUUUUUUUUAAGUUUAAAUAAGAGACAUUGAUGGAUUAUAGAGAAUGCUAAAAUGUCUCCUAGCUUUACUCAAAAAAAUGGUAUCUUUUGCUGAAUUGAAAACCGAAUACCGAAAUUUAGCAAAUUGCAAAUGUUUUCCAAUACAACUAUUCAAUCAUAAAAUUUGCAAAUUUGCAAUUCAGUUUUCAUUUUACCUCAACUUAUUGUUGUGUGAAAAAGAUUUAAGGACAAGUGCCUCAAUUCAUUUAUUUUGAAUCAUCAGAAAUUAUCAUAAUCUUUUAGAAAAAACUUUUCAGAUGAUUCAUCUACAUAAGUCACCAUAAAUAUGCAUAUGGGAGAUUUUUGUAGGUAAAUCUUUUGAUUUUUACAUAUUCUGAUCGUGUGUGAUGCUGAUCCAAACUAAUUAAAUAAG